RNAcentral lists this small nuclear RNA (110 nucleotides) under Alligator sinensis (Chinese alligator). Lineage: Eukaryota; Metazoa; Chordata; Crocodylia; Alligatoridae. The record is from RNAcentral.
AUGCUCCAAGAUACGUGGUCAUAUAUACUAAAAUUGGGUCUGUACAGAGAAGAUUAGUAUGGACCUCGUGCAAGAAAAACAGGCAAAGUCAUGAUGUGUUCUAUAUUUUC